UAAUACGGAGGGUGCAAGCGUUAUCCGGAUUCACUGGGUUUAAAGGGUGUGUAGGCGGGCUGUUAAGUCAGUGGUGAAAUCUCCGGGCUCAACCCGGAAACUGCCAUUGAUACUAUCAGUCUUGAAUAUCGUUGAGGCAGGCGGAAUAUAUCAUGUAGCGGUGAAAUGCAUAGAUAUGAUAUAGAACACCAAUUGCGAAGGCAGCUUGCUAAACGAUCAUUGACGCUGAGGCACGAAAGCGUGGGGAUCAAACAGGAUUAGAUACCCUGGUAGUCCACGCCCUAAACGAUGAUUACUCGACAUACGCGAUACACAGUGUGUGUCUGAGCGAAAGCAUUAAGUAAUCCACCUGGGAAGUACGUCCGCAAGGAUG
This 373-nucleotide ribosomal RNA is filed under the name uncultured bacterium. RNAcentral describes it as "bacterial SSU rRNA". It matches the Rfam family "Bacterial small subunit ribosomal RNA", at positions 521 to 896 of the family's 1533-position model. The record is from RNAcentral.